AUGAGCCCGCACGUUGACUACUCUGAAUCCAUCCUAAAUCGUUGUAGACCACAGUGUUCACUUGAGCUACCUGUUGAUAAGCCUCGCUCCCUGUUGUGUUCAGUUCGACCGACCUUCAGAGGACCUGAACUUGAAUACCGCCGAAAAGAACCAGAUGCAUCCAGGGUAUCAUAA
Molecule: ribosomal RNA, 174 nt
Filed under: Triticum aestivum (bread wheat)
Lineage: Eukaryota; Viridiplantae; Streptophyta; Magnoliopsida; Poales; Poaceae
Description: partial small subunit ribosomal RNA
Source: RNAcentral